CGUAGGUGCAAGCGUUGUCCGGAAUUAUUGGGCGUAAAGAGCUCGUAGGCGGUUUGUCGCGUCUGCUGUGAAACCCGAGGCUCAACCUCGGGCCUGCAGUGGGUACGGGCAGACUAGAGUGCGGUAGGGGAGAAUGGAAUUCCUGGUGUAGCGGUGGAAUGCGCAGAUAUCAGGAGGAACACCGAUGGCGAAGGCAGUUCUCUGGGCCGUUACUGACGCUGAGGAGCGAAAGCGUGGGGGAGCGAACAGGAUU
This 253-nucleotide ribosomal RNA is filed under the name uncultured bacterium. RNAcentral's name for it is "partial 16S ribosomal RNA". It matches the Rfam family "Bacterial small subunit ribosomal RNA", at positions 526 to 779 of the family's 1533-position model. The record is from RNAcentral.